GACGAACGCUGGCGGCGUGCUUAACACAUGCCAGUCGAACGAAGAGCGACGGAAUCUUGCUUCUAUCAAUCUUACUGGCGAACGGGUGAGUAACGCGUAAUCAACCUGCCCUUCAGCGGGGUACAACAGUAGGAAACGAAUGCUAAUACCAUAUACGAUCUAACCUCGGCAUCGAGGCUAGAUGAAAGCUGGCUUCUACAUUUAAUCUAUCACUGAAGGCGGAAAUUCCGUCUGAUUAGCUAGUUGGAGGGGUAACGGCCCACCAAGGCGAUGAUCAGUAGCCGGUCUGAGAGGAGGGACGGCCACAUUGGGACUGAGAAACGACACAGAGUCCUACGGGAGGCAGCAGUGGGGAAUCUUGAGUAAUGGACGAAAGGCGGAAGGAGGAAGGCCGCGUGAGUGAUGACGGCCGUCGGGUUGUAAAGCUCUGUUAAUCGGGACGAAAGGGCUUCUUGCGAAUAGUGAGAAGGAUUGACGGUACCGGAAGAGAAAGCCACGGCUAACUACGUG
Molecule: ribosomal RNA, 510 nt
Filed under: uncultured bacterium
Lineage: Bacteria
Description: partial 16S ribosomal RNA
Rfam family: Bacterial small subunit ribosomal RNA
Source: RNAcentral